This 446-nucleotide ribosomal RNA is filed under the name uncultured bacterium. RNAcentral's name for it is "partial 16S ribosomal RNA". It matches the Rfam family "Bacterial small subunit ribosomal RNA", at positions 338 to 795 of the family's 1533-position model. The record is from RNAcentral.
CCUACGGGUGGCAGCAGUCGAGAAUCAUUCACAAUGGGGGAAACCCUGAUGGUGCGACGCCGCGUGGGGGAAUGAAGGUCUUCGGAUUGUAAACCCCUGUCAUGUGGGAGCAAAUUAAAAAGAUAGUAACACAAGAGGAAGAGACGGCUAACUCUGUGCCAGCAGCCGCGGUAAUACAGAGGUCUCAAGCGUUGUUCGGAAUCACUGGGCGUAAAGCGUGCGUAGGCUGUUUCGUAAGUCGUGUGUGAAAGGUGCGGGCUCAACCCGCGGAAGGCACAUGAUACUGCGAGACUAGAGUAAUGGAGGGGGGACCGGAAUUCUCGGUGUAGCAGUGAAAUGCGUAGAUAUCGAGAGGAACACUCGUGGCGAAGGCGGGUUCCUGGACAUUAACUGACGCUGAGGCACGAAGGCCAGGGGAGCGAAAGGGAUUAGAUACCCUUGUAGUC